GAUGAAGUACGUAGCGAAAUGCGAUAAGUAAUGUGAAUUGCAGAAUUCAGUGAAUCAUCGAAUCUUUGAACGCACAUUGCGCCCGCCAGUAUUCUGGCGGGCAUGCCUGUUCGAGCGUCAUUACAACCCUCAGGCCCCCGGGCCUGGCGUUGGGGAUCGGCGGAGCCCCCCGUGGGCACACGCCGUCCCCCAAAUACAGUGGCGGUCCCGCCGCAGCUUCCAUCGCGUAGUAGCUAACACCUCGCGACUGGAGAGCGGCGCGGCCACGCCGUAAAACACCCAACUCUUCUGAAGUUGACCUCGAAUCAGGUAGGAAUACCCGCUGAACUUAAGCAUAUCAAUAAGCGGAGGA
Molecule: unclassified non-coding RNA, 352 nt
Filed under: soil metagenome
Description: partial contains 5.8S ribosomal RNA, internal transcribed spacer 2, and large subunit ribosomal RNA
Rfam family: 5.8S ribosomal RNA (bases 1-120)
Source: RNAcentral